GGUCAAUUGGACCUGUUUUGAGUGUGUUAUGGUCAUCCCAAGGACUGCUGUUCAUAUGGUCAAAAAUCUGGGUUGCAAGGUUGCUAAUCCAGAUUUGGUCAUUUUUAAGGUCAGUUUCUAGGCAGAAUUUUGGCAACAUUUCUACAUGAAAGUUGGCCUAUUUGGUGUCUAGUUUCACCCCAUAUUGACCUCAUACCAAUUGGGUUCAUAGUUUGGCACUUAUGGCCUAAUUUAGAUACUGCCUUCAAUACACAACCUGCACAAAGCAUAUACACUUCCAAUUUGAUAUUUCUUCUCCUCCUCAUUACUUAAAUAUUCAAUCAAUAACACUUCCAUAUAUAUAUUGUACACAAUUCCAGCAACACUUUUGGGCAGAAUAUUCAAGUGCUUAAUGCACACAAUUCACCAUUAAGCUCAACAUUCACUUCCACCAAAAUUCAACAUAUCUCAAUGUCAAUAUUACACAUACACUUCAACAUAAUCAUACUUCAAUAUCAUUUACACUUGCUGCCCACAAUUUAACAUUAGUAUAUUUCAUUAAUAACUACAUGUUCACACACAAAUUCAUGGUUUAAUAGGCUGCCAAACAUGGCAGUUUGCCCAAAGCAUUAAGGUUCCAUUACACACCCUUAAUUCAAGCAGUACAUACACAUACUUAGAUUUUAACUUACUACUUCCUCCAUUUAAGUUAUUCAACCUUAAUUUUCAUCCAUUACAGGUAAGAAAAACUCAACUACAAUAAACUUUCAUGGCUGUCCAAAAUUGAAUAUAUCAAUAACUCAUUGAAUCCUUCAAAUUUCUUCACCAUCCAACUCAUCUCAACCUUAAUACAAACUUUAAUGAAGCAAGGGAUGAAAAACUAGCACUAACCUUUUUUGAGCUUCACCAAAACUUCAUCAAAUCCUCUUCUUUUUGCUUCCAACAUACUGCCCAAGGUGUGUGUGCAAGCUUUAAUGAAGGAACUAAGUAGAAAUGGUGGCUUGAUCAUGCACCCAUGGAGGUUGCAUGUGGGGCAUCUAUGGUGAUUUCCAUGGUGAACUCCAUUUCCCUUGGCUGGUUAUUUCUCAAGGUGGAAGAUAAUGGUUCUGCUGUCCCAAAGGAAUAUUUAAGUGUCCCAAAUUAAGAGUUAGUGGAGCACUAACUUGGAUUUUAAUGUUUAAUUAGUUAAAGUUUCCUUAUUUACUCAUUUGGCUUCAUUCUUUUACUAUUUACAUAUUGUAUCACAAUUUAAUUUUUCAUGACAUUUCUAAAGUGUAAUAUUAUUUAUUUUUAA
This 1273-nucleotide unclassified non-coding RNA is filed under the name Hevea brasiliensis (rubber tree). The record is from RNAcentral. Lineage: Eukaryota; Viridiplantae; Streptophyta; Magnoliopsida; Malpighiales; Euphorbiaceae.